AAGGGAACAACCAUUUGACUUCAAAGGGGGAUGGGGUGGGAAUGGAAAUAUUCCGAUCCCCAAUUUGAUAAAAAAAAAAAAUGAUCAUACAGAUGAUAAAAAUAUUCUGAAUCAAAGAGUUUCCCCAUACAUUAUAGUGUUAAAUAUUGAAAAAAAAUGUAUUUGAUCACCAGCAUCGAAAAAAAAGGAAUAAAAACGUACGCGCGAAAAAAAA
RNAcentral lists this long non-coding RNA (214 nucleotides) under Mytilus galloprovincialis (Mediterranean mussel). The record is from RNAcentral. Lineage: Eukaryota; Metazoa; Mollusca; Bivalvia; Mytilida; Mytilidae.